Molecule: ribosomal RNA, 585 nt
Filed under: uncultured bacterium
Lineage: Bacteria
Description: bacterial SSU rRNA
Rfam family: Bacterial small subunit ribosomal RNA
Source: RNAcentral
CCUACGGGAGGCAGCAGUGGGGAAUUUUGGACAAUGGGGGCAACCCUGAUCCAGCAAUGCCGCGUGUGUGAAGAAGGCCUUCGGGUUGUAAAGCACUUUUGUCCGGAAAGAAAUUGCUCUGGCUAAUACCUGGGGUAGAUGACGGUACCGGAAGAAUAAGCACCGGCUAACUACGUGCCAGCAGCCGCGGUAAUACGUAGGGUGCGAGCGUUAAUCGGAAUUACUGGGCGUAAAGCGUGCGCAGGCGGUUUUGUAAGACAGGCGUGAAAUCCCCGGGCUCAACCUGGGAAUUGCGCUUGUGACUGCAAGGCUAGAGUGCGUCAGAGGGGGGUAGAAUUCCACGUGUAGCAGUGAAAUGCGUAGAGAUGUGGAGGAAUACCGAUGGCGAAGGCAGCCCCCUGGGACGUGACUGACGCUCAUGCACGAAAGCGUGGGGAGCAAACAGGAUUAGAUACCCUGGUAGUCCACGCCCUAAACGAUGUCAACUAGUUGUUGGGGAUUCAUUUUCUCAGUAACGUAGCUAACGCGUGAAGUUGACCGCCUGGGGAGUACGGUCGCAAGAUUAAAACUUAAAUGAAUUGACGG